CGGGGGGGGGGCACGGGGGGCCUACGGGAGGGGGGAGUGGGGAAUUUUGGACAAUGGGGGCAAACCUGAUCCAGCCAUGCCGCGUGAGGGAAGAAGGCCUUCGGGUUAUAAACUGCUUUUGUAAGGAAAGAAACGGUCUUGUUUAAUACUGCGGGCUCAUGACGAUACCGAAAGAAUAAGCACCGGCUAACUACGUG
Molecule: ribosomal RNA, 197 nt
Filed under: uncultured Comamonadaceae bacterium
Lineage: Bacteria; Pseudomonadati; Pseudomonadota; Betaproteobacteria; Burkholderiales; Comamonadaceae
Description: partial 16S ribosomal RNA
Rfam family: Bacterial small subunit ribosomal RNA
Source: RNAcentral